Molecule: ribosomal RNA, 369 nt
Filed under: uncultured bacterium
Lineage: Bacteria
Description: bacterial SSU rRNA
Rfam family: Bacterial small subunit ribosomal RNA
Source: RNAcentral
GGUAUGUAAAGCUCUAUCAGCAGGGAAGAAAAUGACGGUACCUGACUAAGAAGCCCCGGCUAACUACGUGCCAGCAGCCGCGGUAAUACGUAGGGGGCAAGCGUUAUCCGGAUUUACUGGGUGUAAAGGGAGCGUAGACGGCGAUGCAAGUCUGAAGUGAAAGCCCGGGGCUCAACCCCGGGACUGCUUUGGAAACUGCCUUGCUAGAGUGCUGGAGAGGUAAGUGGAAUUCCUAGUGUAGCGGUGAAAUGCGUAGAUAUUAGGAGGAACACCAGUGGCGAAGGCGGCUUACUGGACAGUAACUGACGUUGAGGCUCGAAAGCGUGGGGAGCAAACAGGAUUAGAUACCCUGGUAGUCCACGCGGUAAA